RNAcentral lists this transfer RNA (89 nucleotides) under Actinomycetes bacterium. Its description in RNAcentral is "Actinobacteria bacterium tRNA-Leu". It matches the Rfam family "tRNA". From Rfam's summary of the family: Transfer RNA (tRNA) molecules are approximately 80 nucleotides in length. The record is from RNAcentral. Lineage: Bacteria; Bacillati; Actinomycetota; Actinomycetes.
GGCGGCGUAUCCGAACUGGCACAGGAGGGGGUCUUAAAAACCCCUAGGUCGCAAGACCUGUCUGGGUUCGAAUCCCAGCGCCGCUACCA